Patella vulgata (common limpet) is the source of this 802-nucleotide long non-coding RNA. RefSeq lists it as uncharacterized. The record is from RefSeq and is a predicted model, not a curated record. Lineage: Eukaryota; Metazoa; Mollusca; Gastropoda; Patellidae. The transcript is spliced from 4 exons.
AAUCCACAUCUGUCCAUGUCAGAAAACAUAUUCGUUGUGCACAAGACUUUAUAUUCGCAAAGAGAAACUAAACUGUAAGAAUUAUGAAAAUUCGUGCCCUGCUGGUCGUAAUACUGUUGGCUAAUAUGGCGGUUCCUGCGAGGUUUGGACACAGGCCAUUAAACAUAGCUAGAGCAAACCAUCUACGUCAACUAAUUUGGAAUAGAUUUAAACAAUCACGGACAUGUAGCAGAUGCUGUGCAGUGCCUUUAACGUCACCGCUGAUACAAGAAGAAACAAGUUUACAACUACUGAAAUCACCUGUAUCUCCUAGAAAUACAACAAUAUUCCAAAAUACAACCAAGAAUACAACAAUAGACCGAAAUACCGCGAAAAAUACAUCCAUAAAUGCAACAAUAGACCGAUAUACAUCAAGAAAUGCAACAAUAGACCUAUAUACAUCAGGAAAUACAACAAAAGACUUGUAUACAAAUACAACUCCGGUUAUAAAGGAAUUCACACCAGCGAUUCCUUUUUAUGUUAUUGCUGGUGAAGUUUUGGCUGCGAUCUUUGUCAUCUCUAUUAUAAUAAUGCUGUUCAUCUAUUUUAAGUAAAGGUAACUAUUACAAGAUGUUCUUAUUAUCUGCUACAAGCUACAGAGUGAAAGUAAAAUUAACAGUGAUCUUUACGUAUUGUUAAACAGCUUAUUAGCAAUUAUACUCCACUGUCUAUACAAAAUAUGGAUUUUGUUUUCAUUUCUCCUAAGAAAGUAUUUUGCAAAUUUGUAAUAUAAAUUUAUAGACUUCAAAAGAACUUAACAAUU